GCCCGCGUAGCUCAGCUGGUAGAGCAAUUGACUCUUAAUCAAAAGGUCCCAGGUUCGAUCCCUGGCGCGGGCACCA
This 76-nucleotide transfer RNA is filed under the name Planctomycetota bacterium. Its description in RNAcentral is "Planctomycetes bacterium (groundwater metagenome) tRNA-Lys". It matches the Rfam family "tRNA". From Rfam's summary of the family: Transfer RNA (tRNA) molecules are approximately 80 nucleotides in length. Their secondary structure includes four short double-helical elements and three loops (D, anti-codon, and T loops). Lineage: Bacteria; Pseudomonadati; Planctomycetota. The record is from RNAcentral.